Long non-coding RNA from Dalotia coriaria, 2145 nucleotides. RefSeq lists it as uncharacterized. The record is from RefSeq and is a predicted model, not a curated record. The transcript has 2 exons. NCBI's taxonomy places the organism in Eukaryota, Metazoa, Arthropoda, Insecta, Coleoptera, Staphylinidae.
UUUGUGUGUGAAUGAUGAUGAUUUGCAGUUUGCAUAUAAUCUUGGAGUGUUGUUGUUGACCUUAGCGCUAACAAAAAGUUCAAACAGUAAUUUGCUGUUUGCUUGAUUCGAUAUUCCGAUCGUCGUUUGUUUGGUGAUAAUUCGUGUUGAGCUACGAUGUUUUACUUGUGUAGCAACAUUGCGUGACUUAUUUUUAGAAGUAAACGCGCUUCGGCUUCUCCUCUAGGGAGCGAAAGUGGCAGGUUUUAAAACAUACCAUUUUUUGGCAAACUCCGUAUCACAUUAACAGCGGCGUGAAACUUCUCUUCGGUCGUCAUCUUCCUGCUUCCUUUCUAUUUUAUUACUUCACUGAAAAUCUGAACUUCCGUGUUUUUACGCGAUGUUAGCUGGGAGUAUACUUGUGCACUUCGGACAUUUCCAAACGCAAUCCGACGGAUUCGACGGCGAGCGAAGGUUGAGCGCGCUAGGCGAACGUAAUCAAACGAAUGGAAACAGGAAAAAAUUAAAAACAAGACGACGCGACGUUCGCGCACUCACUGUCACACUCCCAUUUGCGUUCAUUUGUUGUGCUCGCCUUCGCCCCGUUCGGAAAUCGCCAGGAAGCGCUGCGCAGUGCCGAUAGUUGCCAAUGCCAGCCCGCGCAAUGUCAACCGGGUCGACGCAUGUCAAAUAUCAAAUAUACAAAUCAUAUAUAUUACACCGAUUCGUGAGAGUUGUUUAAACUAAUUUUGUUGUUUUAUAACGAUUCUCCGCUUAUUUAACAACUAGAUUUCAUAUUAAUGCUUAACUUUCAUCUAAUUUUAAUUGUUAAUCUUUCUUUUGCGUUUAAAUUUAAGUUUUAUUCUAUUUGUACAGUUUUGGUGCAUGAUCCAUGUAAUAUAUAUCUAGCAAUGAAGAAGCACUUUUGUCGUUUAAAAUUUGUCAUUGUUUAAAUGCUGCUUUUCGCCUAAUAAAUCUAAAAUUUGUUUAUUUUUUAAAGUGUUAAUUAUACUCUUAAAAUCGUCUGCGUCUAACAAAUAACUUAAAUAAGUCACAUUCUGCCCCAGAGCGUUAUUCAACCAGUACGUUUGUUACAUUCACAACUAAUUGCGCAUCGCGCCUCCUGACACAAUAAACGAAUAUCGUUUCUGACUAAAAAAGAACAAAACAUUUCCAUCCCGACAUUCUGCGCUCUGUCGCGUCGUCUAAUUACAACGAGUCUAACAAGUUUUAUUACAAGUCUUAUUGGCAUGACUCUCGCCAAGUCGUAUAGUUAACGAAUAGCAUUUUAUUAUGGUGGUACGUGGAUAGCAAGUUAUUUCAAUCUAUCUACGCCGAGAGAAUUCGUUAAUUCUACGCCGCCCCGCGCGCCAUCUACUUCAGGUCAAUGUUUGGCGGUUUAUCCGCCAUGAUCGCCUUGAUGUCAUCGGCGUCGAGCGUUUCAUACUUCAUCAGCGCCUCGGCCAGAGCCUUAUGUUCCUUUGCAUGCAUCUUCAGGAUCUGCUUCGCCCUUUCAUAGCUAUCGGACAUAAUUUUUUUGAUUUCCGAAUCAAUCUAAACAAAUAAACACUUUUAGUCAUACUAAAUCAGAAAAAUAUAAAAUGUCUCACCAUUUCGUUGGUAGAUGGCCCUAGCAUAUCCCCACUGAAAGGUUUACUUCCUUCAGCGACAGUUCUAAGUCCCACUCGUUCCGACAUGCCCCAAUCUUUGACCAUAUGAGUAGCAAUAGACGUGGCUUGUUUAAGAUCCGAACUAGCGCCUGAUGUGAUCUUAUCCGGGCCGAAUACCAGCUCCUCAGCGGCACGUCCGCCCAUCAUCGUAUCCAUCAUAGCAAGCAGUUGACUCUUAGUGACAUGAUACCUCUCUUUUUCAGGGAUAUACGCUGUGUGACCCAAACUGGGCCCGCGGGGGAUUAUUGUCACCUUAUGCAGCGGAUGGCUGUCUUUAGUGUAAAAGGCAACAAUGGCAUGGCCGCCCUCAUGGUACGCUGUAAUCAUAUUCGCUUCCUCAUCAGGUAUCCGCGAUUUUCGCUCCGGACCCAUGAGGACUUUAUCACGAGCCGAUUCUAAAUAUUUCAUUGAGACCGAGUUGCAACCAUCGAUAGCAGCCCUGUAUUUAAUACCAAAAUUAAAGAAAAAAUAAAACAUACAAGUUAUAAUUGUUAAA